ACGAACGCUGGCGGCGUGCCUAACACAUGCAAGUCAACUUGACUGAAGGAGCAAUCUGACAGUAGAGUGGCGCAAGGGUGCGUAACGCGUAAGUAACUUGCCCCAAGGUAAGGAAUAACGUCGAGAAAUCGGCGCUAAUACCUCAUAAUGCAGCGGAUCCGCAUGGAUAUGUUGUUAAAGGUUUACCGCCUUGGGAUAGGCUUGCGUCUGAUUAGCUAGUUGGUGUGGUAACGGCACACCAAGGCUACGAUCAGUAACUGGUCUGAGAGGAUGAUCAGUCACACUGGAACUGAGACACGGUCCAGACUCCUACGGGAGGCAGCAGUGAGGAAUAUUGGGCAAUGCUCGAAAGAGUGACCCAGCAACGCCGCGUGGAGGAUGAAGGUAUUCUAUAUCGUAAACUCCUGUGAGAGCAGACGAAAGACAGAUUACUAAUCUGGAUGACUGUAUGCUCAGAGGAAGCCCCGGCUAACUACGUG
This 479-nucleotide ribosomal RNA is filed under the name uncultured bacterium. Its description in RNAcentral is "bacterial SSU rRNA". It matches the Rfam family "Bacterial small subunit ribosomal RNA", at positions 29 to 507 of the family's 1533-position model. The record is from RNAcentral.